This 412-nucleotide long non-coding RNA is filed under the name Brassica napus (rape). RNAcentral's name for it is "long non-coding RNA (BNAP_LNC011216)". The record is from RNAcentral. Lineage: Eukaryota; Viridiplantae; Streptophyta; Magnoliopsida; Brassicales; Brassicaceae.
UUUUUUGUUUAUUCUAUUUGUUACGAUCUUCAUCAAUGUAGUUUUCGACCAUAGAUUUCCUACAUGAUUAUAUUUUUAAUUCCUUUUUACUAUGUGCUUGCGUUCUGUUUUGGAUGAUAUUUGUUGGUCUCAUGUUGUUUUUUUGUUACUGAGCCGAACAAUUGUUUACAUUGUUACCAUCCUCCUAGAUUUCUCUUUGUAUGUUUAUGAUUUUAAUUUGUACUUGACUAAUUUAUAGAGUUCCUUUUGAUGUUGGCUAUCGAUCGUUUUGGUGAUAGUUUCUGUGACCAAGAAGCCCACGAAGUGAGCAAGACGUAGCAAAGAGUUUGCAAAUGAUCCAAACUAAACCAAACGGCCAAACAAAUGCCUUCUUCGUUUUCAUUUAAUCAUUGCCUACUGAUUCUUAACUUUC